GCAUUCCUGGCUUCAAGUGAUCACCCGCCUUGGCCUCCCAAAGUGCUGGGAAUACCGGCGGGAGGUACCGCGCCCAGCCUCCUUCACUUUUCUGUGACUUCCAGAGCAGACAAUACAUAAGACACCGGGAGAGAUGCCUGCAGGUGAGUAGACAGGGUUCUCCUUGGCUUCCUUUGAGUCUCAAGGAAGUCACUGAAGCAGCGGGCCCAGCUGCCUUUUACGCCUCACGCCAGCCUCCAGACACACCCAUUGCACCAUGUACUGCUACUUGGCAAACUUUGUCACGGAAAUCCAAUGUUUCCAGUUUCUGGGUCCCGAAACUCUUCCCAUGCAAGCUCUAGGACAAUCUCUUUUUCUCCAGUCUCCACUUCAAGGCUCAGUUGUUUUCCACCUAUGGCCCUUAGGGCCAGCCCGAGGCUACACUUGCCAGCCAGAGAGGCUGCGGCAAGCAGCGUUUAUGCUCCAUAGUCCCAGGUGAGGAAGACGAAGCCUUUUUUGUCAUAGAUCUUCAUUUCUUUUCUUAAAUGUCUUUUAAAAAUAUGCCUAUGUAAUUUUUUAAAGGAUUCGAAAUCUAUGUAGCCCAGUAAUAAGCCCUUAGUUUGUAACUUCGAUUGUAUUUUCUUUGGAUUAUCAUUUGCCGUUUUAAAACCUUGGAUAAAAUCUGUGUAUUUCCUUUAUGAUUUCUGACAUCUCUAUCCUGCCUGGAAAUCCUUUUACCUUAGUAAUAGGCAAAUGCACCUAUAUAUCAUACCAGCACGACAUUGAAACCACCAGCUCAUAACCUCAGCGGGUAACCUUGUUGGUUUACCCAGCAGGAGUAAAGCCUGCCUCGGAAAUCUGAGGGUGGCCGCGAACCCACAAGUCAAGAUUCGCAGGUGCGCGCGCUAAGGACUGAGCUAUUGGGGCGAUGGAGAGAGUCUCGCUCUGCGUCAGGGACGGAAGGACGUGUCCCCCACCAGAAAAAGGAAAAAAAAAAAAAAAAAAAGAAAAAAGAAAAAAGGAAGCGGCGGCUCGUUGGUCUAGGGGUAUGAUUCUCGCUUUGGGUGCGAGAGGUCCCGGGUUCAAAUCCCGGACGAGCCCCCUUUUCCUUCUCUUUUUUCCCAUUUCGCAUUUUCAGCAAGGACAGGAGACUAGGAAGGCGGAGGGAGGCUGCUAUUGGCAGGGCCUCAGUGGAGACCUCCCGGGGUCCCGGGACGCAGACGGACGGGCCUGAAUCGCUCGCCUUGGUGAAAUGGGAUCCAGCGCUGCCAACUGCGGCAACUGCGGUUAAAGGAGACGACCCCGUGCAGCAGGAGGAGGUUAUUUAGAAUAAGGAAGAAUGCGCCGGGCUCAUUGGUCGCUACAGGGGCAUAAAUUUUUUCUAGGAUUCCAGAGUAUGGCUGCUCCAGUCCCAGAUUCGGCUCGACUUACAGACCUCAGCGCAGGACGUGGACGCCCUGCAAAGGAGGACAUUUCAGCGGACGGCAGAGAAUACAGAUUUAUGCCAGCGCCCUGCGGAAGGAGCCUCUGGCGGGUCAUCUCCAUUUAUGGGAGAUCGCAGAGCGGCUUGAGCUUUAUCGCUCCAAGUACUCCACGGCUGCCACAAAGAAAAGUAAAGG
This 1598-nucleotide long non-coding RNA is filed under the name Homo sapiens (human). Its description in RNAcentral is "HSALNT0226903". The stretch from base 1009 to 1080 matches the Rfam family "tRNA". The record is from RNAcentral. Lineage: Eukaryota; Metazoa; Chordata; Mammalia; Primates; Hominidae.